RNAcentral lists this ribosomal RNA (493 nucleotides) under uncultured bacterium. Its description in RNAcentral is "partial 16S ribosomal RNA". It matches the Rfam family "Bacterial small subunit ribosomal RNA", at positions 28 to 507 of the family's 1533-position model. The record is from RNAcentral.
GACGAACGCUGGCGGCGUGCCUAACACAUGCAAGUUGAGCGACGAACCAGGGCUUGCCCUGGGGCAAAGCAGCGAACGGGUGAGUAACACGUGGGUAACCUACCCCGAUAACCGGGACAACCCGAGGAAACUCGGGCUAAUACCGGAUGUGCUCACUGGACUUCGGUUCAGUGCGUAAAGGAAGCUUCGGCCUCCGUAUCGGGAGGGGCCCGCGGCCCAUUAGUUUGUUGGUGAGGUAACGGCUCACCAAGACCGCGAUGGGUAGCUGGUCUGAGAGGACGAUCAGCCACACUGGGACUGAGACACGGCCCAGACUCCUACGGGAGGCAGCAGUGGGGAAUCUUGGGCAAUGCGCGAAAGCGUGACGCAGCAACGCCGCGUGGGGGAAGAAGGCCUUCGGGUUGUAAACCCCUUUCAGGAGGGACGAAGGUUCGGCGGUGAAUAGCCGUCCGGACUGACGGUACCUCCACAAGAAGCCCCGGCUAACUACGUG